CAUGAAGCCGGAAUUGCUAGUAAUGGCAGGUCAGCAUACUGCCGUGAAUACGUUCCCGGGCCUUGUACACACCGCCCGUCACACCAUGAGAGUUGGGAAUACCCGAAGCCUGUGAGCUAACGUUAAGGGGCAGCAGUCGAGGGUAGAAUCAAUGAUUGGGGUGAAGUCGUAACAAGGUACC
This 181-nucleotide ribosomal RNA is filed under the name uncultured bacterium. RNAcentral describes it as "partial 16S ribosomal RNA". It matches the Rfam family "Bacterial small subunit ribosomal RNA", at positions 1319 to 1500 of the family's 1533-position model. The record is from RNAcentral.